UGCUUCGGCUCGCGCACGGUGCGUGUACCCACUGACCUGUGCCCACUGUCUGGCACUCCCUAGUGAGAUGAACCCGGUACCUCAGAUGGAAAUGCAGAAAUCACCCUUCUUCUGCGUCGUUCACGCUGGGAGCUGUAGACCGGAGCUGUUCCAAUUCGGCCAUCUUGGCUCCUCCCCUGGACUCUUUAUUUCUUAAGGAGCUCAUUCUAAGGAUUAUGGAGAUAAACCAUGGAAAGGGAUUUCAUUGUAAUACCCACGAUUGAGAUGGUUGGAGAUAAAGCCAUUAUCCAGUGAUAGUUCAUCAUGUUGAAGGAAUCCUGCUUGUUCCUGCCCUCACAAGGAUGCAGCCUUCAAGGUGUCAUCUUGGAAGCAGAGACUGGGCCCUCAUCAGACACCAAACCCGUUGGCAUCUUAAUCUUGGAUUUCCUAGCCUCCAGAACCACUUAAGUGCUGUGGUGCAAUCAUGGCUCUUUGUAACUUCAAACUCCCAGGCUCGAGUGAUCCUCCCAUGUCAGCCUCCUGAGUAACUGGGACUACAGGUGCACACCAUUAUGCCCAGGUAAUUUUCACCUUUUUGUAGAGAAGGGGUCUAACUAUGUUGUCCAGGCUGGUCUCAAAUUCCUGGUCUCAAGCAAUCCUCCUGCCUUGGCCUCCAAAAUUUCUGGGAUUACAGGCAUUGGUAACCAUGCUCAGGCCCUCUGUUUAUUUUUUAACUGCAUGUUUUUAACAUUAAACCAUAUAUUGCUUGCUUUUGCAUGUUGUCUUUAACUUUCCAUAAGUGGAUUAAUACCAUAUGUAUUCAGGACUUAGUGUUGUUCGCUCAGUAUUAGGUUUCAGGGGUUUAGAUAUAUUGAUGCAGGUAAUUAAUUGACUUUCCAUUGCUCUCUAGCAUUUCAUUGUAUAAUCACACCCUGAUUUACUUGUAUAUUAUAUUUUUAAUUGCUACUUGCUAUUAUAAACAAUGCAGUUUUGAAUGUUCUUAAUUACAUCUCCUGAUGUGUGUGUGUACAUAUUUCUUUAGGAUUUAAACCUAGAAAUUGAAUUUGUGGAUCAUAAGAAUUGUAACUGUUCAAAUAUAACAGACAACUUCAAACUACUUCCCAAAGUAGUUUAACAACUUACAUACUACAAGCAUUGUGUACAUGUAUCAAUAUUCUGUUUGCAUUGCAUGCUUGCCAACACUUGCCAUUGUUAGACUUUUACAUUUUUUGCACAUUUAGUAGGUAUGUAAUGUUACCUUGUAGUUUUAAUUUACAUUUCUCUGAAAACUAAUGCUGUUUGUUACUAAUUUUUAUUAACUAUUUGAAUUUCCUCUUUCUGAAGCAUCUGUUUAGUUAUUUGGCCUAUUUUUUCUCCUGUUUUCUUAUUUAUUUGUAGAAGUUUUUUGGAAGUUCUGGAUUCUAGUACUUUGUUAUAUAUGUUGAAAAUACAUGUUAAAACAAUAGACACCAUUCAGCUAAGAAGAGAAAUUGAAUGUGAUCCAAUUUUUAAUCUUACCUUGUAUGGCUUACACUUUUUGUAUUAUUAACAAAAAGUUCAUUCAUGACUGUUUAUAAAAAUAUCUUCCUAUAUUAUCUAUCUUCUUUGAAAGGUGGUUUAUAAUCAGUGAUGGGACUUUGACAUGUGUUCUUGAAUGUAUGUUUCUGAAAACUUUGAAAAUUGUGACAUUAGCAUACAGGAAAAACACUUUCAGGAUUCAUGGAAAGCUGGAAUGUUCAUUAAUAUCAAGCAGAACAGAGUUGACUGAAUGAACUGAACUAAUAUGAGACUAAAGUAAUCUUUUUUGACUUUGCUUAAAACAUUGUUGAUCCUUUGUUUUGUUUUUCAGAGUCAAGGAUACUUUCUUUUGAGCUAUUUACAGCUUUUAACAAUUGAGUAAAGUAUACUCCUGUGAACAGAAUUUGUUUCUCUCUACCUGAUUUAUCCAGAAUUUGGAAACUAAUUACUGACCUUGCUCAUUCCUGCGAACCAAUCAGUAAUCUCUGACUGCAGCUCAAAAGAAACAAGAGAGAUGGGUCAUGUAAAAAUCAAGAUCAGUAUUCUAAUUCUGGACACAUAUUGGAAUCAGCUAGCAUCCCGUAUCAGCUUGGUUCCAACAGUUGCCCACUUCAUAGAAAGACUUCUUCUCAUUUAGUUUACUUGGGAUAGUUUUACUUAUUUUACUUUACUGUUGUGGAAUAUUUUGCUCUUGUACUCUUUGUGUAGAAAUACAGGGUAAGCUUACCAAAUGUUUUCUUAAAUUGAACACUUAUUUAUCUUCUAGAUAUCCUUUUGUUGGAACUUAAGAGUUAUAAAUGGCCCAUGCCAUACCGAUGUUUUCUGACUGAGCUCUUCUCUAUCUUGAAUGCAAGAGACCCAUUAGUUAGGCAGGAAUGUUAUCCCCCCUAAUUAGCCUGAACAAAUUAUAGAAGAUGGAUCUUCAUCCCUCUACAACCCUUAGCAUUAAGAGUUUUCUUAUAAAACGGAGGGGAAAAAUGUCAGAGACAUUUGAACCAGAGCAACUUUGUCUUGAAUAGGGGACAGGUAAAAUGAGGCUGAGACCUAUUAGGCUGCAUUCCCAGGAGGUUAAGGCAUUCUAAGUCACAGAAUGAGGCAGGAGGCCAGCCCAAGAUGCAGGUCAUACAGACCUUGCUGAUAAAACAGGUUGCAGUGAAGAAGCCAGCUAAAACCCAUCAAAACCAAGAUGGAGAUGAGAGUGACCUCUGUUGGUCCACACUGCUACACUCCCACCAGCGCCAUGACAGUUUACAAAUGCCAUGAGAACAUCAGGAAGUUACCUUAUAUGGUCUAAAAAGGGGAGGCAUGAAUAAUCCAUCCCUUGUUUAGCAUAUAAUCUAGAAAUAACCAUAAAUAUGAGCAACCAGCAGCCCUCGGGGCUGCUCUGCCUAUGGAGUACCCAUUCUUUUAUUCCUUUAUUUUAUUAAUAAACUUGCUUUCACUUAAAAACAAAUAUAUAUAUAUUAUCUAAUAAAAGUUUUAUCAUACUUAGGUUCCUAAUGCCAUGGAUUAUUUUCUGUGAAAGGCAUGAGUUAAAAAUACAGAUUUAUUUAUUUUUUCCAUAUGGAUAACCAAUUGUCCCAGCAGUGUUUACAAUAUAUUUCAUCUUUCUACCACUGAUCUGAAAUGUCACCUUUGUCAUAAAUCAGGUUUCUUUAUAUUGGUGGGCUUUUUCUAGACUAUUUUCUUUGGACUAUUUUUUGGUCUCUGAGGUAAUGCCACACUGUCUUAAUUUCAAUAAUUUAAAAAUAAAAAUUCUUGAAAUCUAGUGAUACACUCCAAUUUAUUAUUUAGAAGAGUCAGCAAUUCCUAGUCCUUUAGUCUUUCAUUUUUAAUCAACUCGUCAAGUUCUACAUAAAGAAAAUCUAGUUAGAAACUGUAUUUUAUUGACAAAAAGAGAGAUUCAAUAUCUUUAUGAUGCAGAAUCCUUCCACUUAUUAAUAUUCAAUUUAUUUAAUAUCUCUCUAGUUUAAUUCUUUAAUUUUUAAGUAAGUUUUAUAAUUUUCUUCAUACAUUUUUCACAGAUUUUUGUUAGAUUUGUUCCUUAGGCUCCAUAUAUUUCUAUAAAACAUUAAAUGACACUAAAAAUGUUGUACAUUCUAAAUUUGUGAUUCGUGCAUAAAAAUGUAAUUGCUUUUUGUUUGCUACUUUGUAUCUUGCAAGCUUGCUACGCUAUCUUCUAAUCAAUUCUAAUAAUAUGUCUACUGAUUUUCCUUGGCUUUCUAAUAUGUUGAUCAUUAAGGAAAUCUUUAUUUUCUAAUUUCCAAUGCAUAUACUUUGAUUUAUUUUUCUUGCUUUAUUGUCCUGGCCAUCACAACUAGUACAAUCAUGAAUAGACGUAAUGAUAGUCAGUACCAUUGUCUUGUUUCUGAUGCUACAGGGCAAGUUUUCAGUAUUUCAUUGUUAAGAAUCAUGUUAGGUAUAGGUUUUUUUUCUAAUUACAUUUAUCCAGUAAAAACGUUUUUCUAUUUCUUGUGUGCUAAGAAAAUCUAUCAUGCUUUCUUUGGAAAAGACCCUAUGCCAUCUUGUUCUCAAGAAAUAGUAACUUUAUAGGUAGAAUUGAUUGUUCAUAGUUAUUUUUGUCCUCACAUUUAAUGUAAACUUUAAUUCUGGCUUUGAUUGAGUCAACUAUCAGCCUACCCUUCACUCAUUGACAAAUAAUUUGCUUUUCAAUUCUUGUAAGAUUUUUUUCUUUGUCUUUGGUUCUGCAGUUUUAUUAUUGUAAGUCUAGCGAGAAUUUCUUUUCCUUUAUUUACCUUGAGAAUUUUGAGGCUUUUUGAAUAUGUAGAUUGAUGUCUUUCAUUUGUAUAAGACAAUGCUCAGAUUUAUUUUUUUCAAAUAUUUCCUCUACCUUAGUUUUUUUCUUCUUCUGUAUAUGUUUCUGUAAACUCAAAUCUUAGCUUGAGUUUUUCAGAGCAUGCCAAUAGGGUGAAUUAAGCUGCAGACCCAUGUGAAGCUGGAUUUUGUUUAUAAAUGUUAUUAACUUAACUUUGCCUUUACUAUAAAGAUUGGACAAUUGGGAGGCCACAGAUUUUUAGGGGUUUUCUCUUAGACUCCUCAUUAGUUUACUAAUUCCAUUUUUAUAUAUUCCUCAUCUAUUAUUAUCCAUUGAAUUUUACAUUUCAAUUACAUGUUUUAUUUUCAUAAAUUGUCUCUGGUUCUUUUUCAAAUCUGCUUGGCCAUUUCCUUUAAUAACAUAGUAAUUUUUAUAUUCAUAUUUUAAUACCACUUUUAUUUUAAAAAUAUAUUAGAUGUAUUUAUUUAAUAUUUUAUUCUGAUAAAUCCAUUUCUGCUAUUCUAUGCUUGUUUUCUCAUUUGGUGUCUUCUUUGGCAGAGUAGGAGUAGGUUAUGCAAUUUGAUCUUAUCUUUUUCUAAAUAUUAUUUGUGGGAAAUACUCCAGUCCAAGAUGAAGGUACGUGCUCAAGAGAGUUUCAGUUUGCCUCUGUAUAGCAUCUGUGUGUAUUACCUACUUUGGAACAAAUGUAAAUUCAGUUUUUGGUGUAAGAUUUUCAGAAUAACAAUUCAUGUGAAUUUAGGCUACAAACCCAUGUGAAAACUAGCUUUUACUUAUGAAAACUCAGGGUAAUGUGUUUACCUUCACUUUUACUUAUAAAUAUUGGACCUCUGGGGUCACAGCUUUUUAAGGAUUUUCUCUUAGACUCCUUACCCUGGCAGGCCUUAGGCCUUUACAAGUCCUUUGUGUCUUGUUCUUUGAGUUCUGGAAGAUCAUGUUAGAAACAUCGCAGGUUUACUUUGUGUAGUAAAUCUUUCAGGAUUAAACCUAGCCUCAAUAAUUAGCUUAAUACUCUAUUUCCCACUUUAAUUUAGAUUUUACUUUUAAUAUUCCUUAUUUUCUUUUGAAUUAAUCAAUUUAAGAAGAUAUCUGGCAUUUUCAGAAGUUUUUCAGUGGGAAAGUGGGUGUUCCAUAUUUCCAGAAAGGAAAGUCUCAGUAUUUGCUUUUCGACUGGCAAAUAUCAAUAUAAAACUUAGAAAAGAAAAAAAGUUACCAUGGUUUUUUAGUAAUUCCUUAUAGCAAGGAUGUUCUCAGCACAGGCAUGCCAGGAGUUAGUGAUUCCUGACUAUGGAGAGUUGUGUGGGACAGAGACCAAUGAGAGCUUCUCCCAGUGGAAAGGUUAGUUUUGGUGAGGGCCCCAGGGAGUUUCACUGUGCAAUGUUUAAAGUGGCAGGAAUAAUGUUAGCAUGUGUAUCCCAGAUAGGAUUGCUGGAUAAAAUCAGGACAUCCAGUUAAAUUUGAAUUUCAGAUGAACAAUAAUUUUUUAAAACAUAUGUUCCCAUAUUCUCUUGCAUCCAGUCAUCUCUCAUUACAAAUAUCCAAGUAGCAUUGGAUAUGCUAGAAUAUAUGAUUUAUGAACACUCCAUUGUGACUUACUGAAAGUCUCAAAGAAAUAGUCUUCAAAUUUCAGUGUGCAAUACGAAUCACCUGGAAGAUCUUGUCAAACUACAGAAGCUGAUUCAGUAGGUCUGGGAUGGAGUAUGAGAUUCUGCCUUCCUAACAUGGAUGAGAUCUGCUGUGUCAACAUGGAAACUGCUCAGCAACAAUCAGAAGAACAGAUGGCCAUCUUCUGUCAGUACUUGAAGACUGUUUCUAAGAAACAUUAAGCCUCCAUCAGGCUCACUUGUUAAUGCAAAAGUCCCACUCAGGACAGAAGCUGGGACAAUCUUUGAAGUUGUCAGGUAUUGAGUUUGAGCAAAUGGAAUGGAAUGUGCUGGAACUGGUCCUUGCAGCAUCCUCCUGACACCUUGGGUCUAUUUGCAUAGUGCAGGUGGCUGAGAUGUCACUAGGCUCUUGAGAGACUUCAGGAACAAGUUGAGGGUUCUGCCUGUCAUCUGAGUUUAUGUACCAUGUACAAGACAACCUCACACUGUUUCUAACAUGAAAUGUUAAAAAUUGUUAUAUCUUUUUCAAAAGGGAGAACCCUUUCUGAUUAGUAAGAAGAAUCGGCCAGGCGCAGUGGCUCACACCUGUAAUCCCAGCACUUUGGGAGGCCGAGGUGGGUGGAUCACUUGAGGUCAGGAGUCCAAGACCAGCCUGGCUAACAUGAUGAAACCCCGUCUCUACUAAAAAUACAAAAAUUAACCGGGAGUGGUGGCAGGUGCCUGUAAUCCCAGCCACUAGGGAAGAUGAGGCACACGAAUCUCUUGAAUCCCGGAGUUGGAGAUUGUAGUGAGCCAAGAUCGCGCCACUGCAGUCCAGCCUGGGUCACAGAGUGAGACUCUCUCAAAAAAUAAAAAUAAAUUUAAAAAAAUAAAAAGAAUCUUAAUUUUUAAAGUUAGUUGAAAAUGUGAAUCCUUUUUAGGUUAAAAUGGGCCUUGCUCUUUUGUUUACUCAGGGCAAAGUGGAAAGGAGGAGACAAUCACUGGUAGGUCUCUGGUAUGCGUGUUCUAGAGUGGGUACAAAUGACCAUUUGAUGAGUUGUUUCUAGGAACUUUAUACAUACCAUGAGAACUGAUGAAAAAUCUCAUUAAUUCCUUAGGAACAUUACCUCCCUUAAUGAAAGGAAAACAGCCUAUUGGCUCUCUAAUAGUAAUCAAGUGAAGUGUGGAUAAUUCUAGACUUUUAUUUUUAAUCACCACUUAUAGGAAGCUGUACUUUUUACCACUAGGGUGUAACCAGAAACUAUUACAAGCAAUUUAAUUGCAAUGUGGAUCCCCCUUUUCUGUAAAGAUUUCAUUCUAACUUGGGAUUACCUUCUUGAUCAAGGAGGCUUUAUCAGAUAAUCCUGACAUCUCAGUUACAGAGCAAGCAAAACUUUGCCUCCAUGCUCUUAGGUCCUCUGGUUGGGCCUGAGAAUUAAAUUGGCAUAAAAUAUAUUAACAGGAGAAAAAUACACAGACUUUUUACAUGUACAUGGGAGCUGCCAUAGGAAAAUAAAGACCCUAAGAAGUGGUAAAAACCCAAAUGCUUAUAUAGCAGAUUGAAUAAAGAGUGACAAUUGUGGAAAAGUAACUAAAAUGUGUGGGGAGGCUCAAGGAAGAUAAGAGUUAUUUUAACAAGGUCUGUUUGUACAGGUUUUUUUUUAGUCUCAACUCCUCAUCUCCGGUGACAAGAAUGUUUCUUCUCUUCUGGUACAGGGAGCGCAUCUUUCACAUGGGAGUUUUUGUCUCCUGUUUGCAGGAAGAAAAGAGGAGAUUGGAAUGCCCUUCUUGCAUUUGCUGUUUUUCAAGGGCCUUUAGCUCAAAAUAAUCUUUACACCAAACUAGCAUAUUUUGGGGUGACAUAUUCUGCCACCCUUCACAGUCUGUGAUGGUUAAUUUUAUGUGUCAGCUUCUCUAGGGUAAGGGAAGUCCAUAUAACUGGUAAAACAUUAUUUCUGGGUGUGUCUUUGAGGAUGUUGCUGGAAAAGAUUAGCAUUUGAGUCAGUGGACUAAGUAAGAAAAUCACUAACAUGGGCAGGCAUCGUCCUAUCCAUUGAGGGUCAGAAUAGAACAAAAAGGCAGAGAAAGAAUGAAUUCUCUUUUUUUGAGCUGGGGCAUCUAUCUUCUCCUGACUUCAGGUAUCAGAGUUUCUGGUUCUCAGGUCUUUGGACUUGGCCUGAAUUUCACUGCCUGCUUUCCUGUUUCUCCAGUUUGCAGAAGGCAGAUCAUGAGACUGCUAACCCUCUAUUAGCACAUUAGUCCAUUCCCAUAAUUGAUGGGGGGUGUGUGUGUGUGUGUGUGUGUGUGUGUGUGUGUGUGUGUGUUGGGAGCUAUCUCCUCUUUUGUUUUUUUUUUUCUCUGAAGAACACUAACAUACAGCUUCUUAUACAAAUAAACUGAUGUUUAAAAACUUCUAUGUUCAUUUAAAUGAUUUUAAAUUAUGUAUUAAACCUCUAUGUUCAAUAAAUAAACUACCACGCUUAAAUUUUUAC
RNAcentral lists this long non-coding RNA (8366 nucleotides) under Homo sapiens (human). RNAcentral's name for it is "HSALNT0091158". The record is from RNAcentral. Lineage: Eukaryota; Metazoa; Chordata; Mammalia; Primates; Hominidae.